This 891-nucleotide ribosomal RNA is filed under the name bacterium enrichment culture clone PCP27. RNAcentral's name for it is "bacterial SSU rRNA". It matches the Rfam family "Bacterial small subunit ribosomal RNA", at positions 9 to 889 of the family's 1533-position model. The record is from RNAcentral.
GAGUUUGAUCCUGGCUCAGGACGAACGCUGGCGGCGUGCCUAAGACAUGCAAGUCGAGCGGAGCACCUUCGGGUGCUUAGCGGCGGACGGGUGAGUAACACGUGGAUAACCUGCCUGACGAUCUGGGAUAACAGACCGAAAGGUCUGCUAAUACCGGAUAAGCUCACGGAGGCGCAUGCUUCCGGGAGAAAAGGCGCUCUAAAGGCGCUGUGGUCAGAGGGGUCCGCGGCCCAUUAGCUAGUUGGAGGGGUAACGGCCCACCAAGGCGACGAUGGGUAGCCGGCCUGAGAGGGCGAUCGGCCACACUGGGACUGAGACACGGCCCAGACUCCUACGGGAGGCAGCAGUCGGGAAUUUUGCACAAUGGCCGAAAGGCUGAUGCAGCAACGCCGCGUGAGUGAAGAAGGCCUUCGGGUUGUAAAGCUCUGUUGCCCGUGACGAAGUGCGCUUUCAGGAAAUGGGAAGCGUUUGACGGUAGCGGGAGAGGAAGCCCCGGCUAACUACGUGCCAGCAGCCGCGGUAAUACGUAGGGGGCGAGCGUUGUCCGGAUUUAUUGGGCGUAAAGGGCGUGUAGGCGGUCUGUUAAGUCGGGGGUGAAAACCCGGGGCUCAACCCCGGGCCUGCCCCCGAAACUGAUGGACUUGAGUACUCUAGAGGGCAGUGGAAUUCCCGGUGUAGCAGUGAAAUGCGUAGAGAUCGGGAGGAACACCAGUGGCGAAGGCGACUGCCUGGGGAGAAACUGACGCUGAGGCGCGAAAGCUGGGGGAGCAAACGGGAUUAGAUACCCCGGUAGUCCCAGCCGUAAACGAUGAGUGCUAGGUGUAGCGGGUAUCGACCCCUGCUGUGCCGCAGUAAACGCAAUAAGCACUCCGCCUGGGGGAGUACGGCCGC